Triticum urartu is the source of this 3112-nucleotide non-coding RNA. NCBI's taxonomy places the organism in Eukaryota, Viridiplantae, Streptophyta, Magnoliopsida, Poales, Poaceae. The record is from RefSeq and is a predicted model, not a curated record.
CUCAGCUCAGCUCAGCUCAUUUGGUUCUUGGCCGCCCAGUUCAAUUAACUAAUAAGCACUCCUCAGCAGAAAUCUUCUGAGUUGAUAUACUACUAUUGUUGUUCGAUUAGCCAUGUUAGGCGAAGCCUCAUCAUCACCUUCCUUUUUCUUUCAUUUCUUUCUGCUCCACCCUGGGGAUGGGACCGGCGGCGAGCCGGAGUUGCAGUUGAGUAUUUGACUCUCGCCCUUCGGUCUCUUCCUCCGUUCCCGUCAUCAUCAUCACGCCCCUUCCCGGAAUCUUCCAUGGUUUCAUCCUUUAAAGAAAGCACCAUCUGCAGAGCUUCACAGCGGAGUAAAUUCCACUUCUUUAGCCAUACAUAGCACAAGUGUACAACUGCACAACACAGCCUAGCAGAGCAGAGCAAUGGCCGCCACGCCGGAGGAAUUCCUGGGGCAGCAGAGUUUCCUUUCGCGGCUGGAGCCGCCCUCGCCGUCCCUGUUCCUCGGCCUGCCGCCGACGCCCCGCGGCGUGGAGGACGGGGACUCCUCGUUUGACGACAUGGCGCUGCCCUACAUCUCGCGCCUGCUGGAGGAGGACAUGGAGGACCACUUCUUCUACCUGUACCCCAACCACCCCGCGCUCCUCAGGGCGCAGCUGCCCUUCGUGCAGAUCCUCGUCGACGUCGCCGACAGCGCCAGCGGCUCCACCUCCGCGCUCUCGCCGUCCUCCUCCACCUCCACCUUCGACGCCACUGCCUCCACAACCCCCAGCGCUACAUCGCCCUACGACGCAGCGAUCCAGAUCUCACGGCCGCCCUACGCCGAAGUACUGGGCCUUGCCUCAGGUUCACCGGACACCCAGAGCUCGGCGCUCCUCAGCGGCGACGAGGAAGCCCAAAACCCUAGCUCUGACUUCGUCAUUGGGAAUUAUUUGUUGCCCGGCGACCAGGACAUGCUCAACUUGGCCUUCCUCAAAGGCAUGGAGGAGGCGAGGAAGUUCUUGCCGCCCAACAGCAGCCUCCCGGCCAUGAAGGUGGACCAAGUGGUGGCCGGAGUGCACGCUGGAGCCGGCCUCAAGAAAAAGAGGGACACUCUAGAGCCAGACAUGGGCAGGGCCAGCAAAUUGAUGAUGCCGGAGCAGGAGGAGGAUGGCGCACGAGAGCUGUUCGACGAAAUGAUGUUCCAGGAACACGAGAUAUGCAUGAAGGGGGUUCAGCAGCUUCGCGUCGCUGUGGACAGUGAACCCGGGAAGAACAGACGGAAGAAGGGUCGGCCAAGACGGGACUCGAGUGAUAGUGAGAUGGUGGACCUGCACACGCUGCUGCUCAACUGCGCCCAGGCGCUGUCCACAGACAACCGGCGGACCGCAAGUGAGCUGCUGAAAAGAAUCAGGCAGCAUUCGACCCCAAAGGGUGAUGCGGCGCAAAGGCUAGCGCAUUAUUUUGCCGAGGCGCUGGAUGCACGGCUGGCGGGUAGGGGGAGCGAGCUGUACCAGUCGCUCAUGGCAAGGCGUACCUCGGUUGCAGACUUUCUCAAGGCCAACCAGCUUUACAUGGCAGCUUGCUGCUGCAAGAAGGUGGCCUUCAUCUUUGCCAAUAAGACCAUCUGCAAUGCUGUGGUAGGGAAGAGCCGGUUGCACAUUGUGGACUAUGGUCUGAGUCAAGGACUGCAGUGGCCGGGCCUGUUACGUAUGCUUGCAGCUAGAGAAGGUGGACCACCAGAGGUGAAGAUCACCGGCAUUGACCUCCCUCAACCUGGGUUCCAAGGAGCCUACCACAUUGAGGAGACGGGGCGCAGGCUCAGCAACUUCGCCCGCGUGUUCGGUGUGCCGUUUAAGUUCCAUGGUAUUGCAGCAAAGCGGGAGACAGUCCAGCCGGAGGACCUGAGCAUCGACCGUGAUGAGGUGCUUGUGGUGAUUAGUCUUUGCCAUUUCAGGCUUUUGAUGGACGAAAACCUCGGCCUUGAUACUCCGAGCCCCAGGGAUCAGGUCCUCAACAACAUCAGGAAGAUGCGGCCAGAUGUGUUCAUCCAUGGCAUUAUGAAUGGCUCGUAUGGUGCUACAUACUUCCUGACACGGUUCAGGGAGGCAUUGUUCAAUUACUCGGCCCAAUUCGACCUGCUGGAUGCGACAGUCCCCCGGGAUAACGAAGGGCGUCUGCUGCUUGAGCGCGACAUCUUUGGGCGGUCUGCCCUGAAUGUCAUUGCAUGUGAGGGCUCAGACCGCGUGGAGCGCCCUGAGACAUACAAGCAGUGGCAGCUCCGGAACCACCGGGCUGGGCUGAGGCAGCUGCCAUUGAAUCCAGAUGUUGUUAGGCUUGUGCUGGACAAGGUUAAGGACAACUACCACAAGGACUUCGUCGUUGAUGAGGAUCAGCGGUGGUUGCUGCACAGGUGGAAGGGGCGUGUGCUCUAUGCCCUGUCAACAUGGGUUGCCGACAAUGCAACCUAGCUUCUUUGCUCAAUCAAACUUGGAUUAUUGACAUCAAUAGAUAUAUUCAUGUUUAUACUGGUCCCAUGGUUUGCAUUCUAUUAUGUACUUUACAUGGCCAGAGAAAACCAGAGUAGCAAGGAAUACUGAGCCUGAAAGAGGUUACUGAUUUGGUCAAAUAUGCAGAUCGGGGCAGGGAUAUAGGACUAUAGAUUAAGCAUGAUCUGGUGGAUUCAUGCAAUACUGGGAAGGAAGAUGAAAUUCAAGAUUGGAAGUAAAAAAGCUUGUAGAUGAUGAGGACCACCAUGACAACCAGUUUGUUGCUUGUGAAGCUACCAUGCUCUUCUACAGUUGGCUGGUAAAUAGUUUAUCGAGAUGGCAUAUUUUAUUUGUUAUCAAAAGUCGACAAACUUGAGAUGUUUUCAAGGGAUAUGUGAGCCAAGAUCAUUCAAUAUAUAUGGGCCACUGGUUGAAGGAAUCAAGGGAUGCCUCCAGGACUUUGAGGACCAUGCGCUGCUGGCGGUCUGACGUACAGCUAAUGAGGUAGCACAUGCAUUAGCAAAGGAGAGCUGGAAUAAUUACUUGGCUUCAUGUUUCACUGGAGUGUAUUAUGAACUUGCUAGACAAGGAGUGUAAUCACAGUGCAUAAUUUAAUAUAAGCAGCUAAUUCUCAAACAAAAAAGAAGUUAGAGAGACGUUUUUAUA